CCCAGACUCCUACGGGAGGCAGCAGUGGGGAAUAUUGCACAAUGGGGGGAACCCUGAUGCAGCGACGCCGCGUGGGUGAAGGAGUACUUCGGUACGUAAAGCCCUAUCAGCAGGAAAGAAAAUGACGGUACCUGACUAAGAAGCCCCGGCUAACUACGUGCCAGCAGCCGCGGUAAUACGUAGGGGGCAAGCGUUAUCCGGAUUUACUGGGUGUAAAGGGAGCGUAGACGGCAGUGCAAGUCCGGAGUGAAAGCCCGGGGCUCAACCCUGGGACUGCUCUGGAAACUGUAAAGCUGGAGUGCGGGAGGGGCAGGCGGAAUUCCUGGUGUAGCGGUGAAAUGCGUAGAUAUCAGGAGGAACACCGGCGGCGAAGGCGGCCUGCUGGACCGUAACUGACGUUGAGGCUCGAAAGCGUGGGGAGCAAACAGGAUUAGAUACCCCAGUACUA
This 448-nucleotide ribosomal RNA is filed under the name uncultured bacterium. Its description in RNAcentral is "bacterial SSU rRNA". It matches the Rfam family "Bacterial small subunit ribosomal RNA", at positions 330 to 797 of the family's 1533-position model. The record is from RNAcentral.